GACAGAGGGUGCAAACGUUGUUCGGAAUUACUGGGCGUAAAGCGUGUGUAGGCGGCUACAUAAGUCGGAUGUGAAAGCCCCGGGCUCAACCCGGGAAGUGCACUCGAUACUGCGUAGCUUGAGUCUCGGAGAGGUUGGUGGAAUUCUCGGUGUAGAGGUGAAAUUCGUAGAUAUCGGGAGGAACACCGAUGGCGAAGGCAGGUCUCUGGGCUGACACUGACGCUCAUGCACGAAAGCGUGGGGAGCAAACAGG
This 253-nucleotide ribosomal RNA is filed under the name uncultured bacterium. RNAcentral's name for it is "partial 16S ribosomal RNA". It matches the Rfam family "Bacterial small subunit ribosomal RNA", at positions 524 to 776 of the family's 1533-position model. The record is from RNAcentral.